UAGGGAAUAGUUUAGCAACCUAGGGC
RNAcentral lists this non-coding RNA (26 nucleotides) under Rattus norvegicus (Norway rat). Lineage: Eukaryota; Metazoa; Chordata; Mammalia; Rodentia; Muridae. The record is from RNAcentral.